Molecule: transfer RNA, 87 nt
Filed under: Pseudobowmanella zhangzhouensis
Lineage: Bacteria; Pseudomonadati; Pseudomonadota; Gammaproteobacteria; Alteromonadales; Alteromonadaceae
Also listed under: 1 other name
Description: tRNA-Leu
Rfam family: tRNA
About the family: Transfer RNA (tRNA) molecules are approximately 80 nucleotides in length. Their secondary structure includes four short double-helical elements and three loops (D, anti-codon, and T loops).
Source: RNAcentral
GCCAGAGUGGCGAAAUUGGUAGACGCAGCGGAUUCAAAAUCCGCCAUCCUAACCGAUGUGUCGGUUCGAGUCCGACCUCUGGCACCA